Molecule: transfer RNA, 77 nt
Filed under: Vogesella indigofera
Lineage: Bacteria; Pseudomonadati; Pseudomonadota; Betaproteobacteria; Neisseriales; Chromobacteriaceae
Also listed under: 13 other names
Description: tRNA-Arg
Rfam family: tRNA
About the family: Transfer RNA (tRNA) molecules are approximately 80 nucleotides in length. Their secondary structure includes four short double-helical elements and three loops (D, anti-codon, and T loops). Further hydrogen bonds mediate the characteristic L-shaped molecular structure. tRNAs have two regions of fundamental functional importance: the anti-codon, which is responsible for specific mRNA codon recognition, and the 3' end, to which the tRNAs corresponding amino acid is attached (by aminoacyl-tRNA synthetases). tRNAs cope with the degeneracy of the genetic code in two manners: having more than one tRNA (with a specific anti-codon) for a particular amino acid; and 'wobble' base-pairing, i.e. permitting non-standard base-pairing at the 3rd anti-codon position.
Source: RNAcentral
GCACCCGUAGCUCAGUUGGAUAGAGUGUCAGUUUCCGAAGCUGAAGGUCAGUGGUUCGAUCCCACUCGGGUGCGCCA